AUAUGUCAACACAUAUAAGGCGUCUACAAUAAAAGCGGAAGUAAAGGCAAGUAAUAAAACAAGUAGAAGAAGUGAAAAUAACUAGCAACUAAUGAUAUCAGAGCAAAUAUAGAUCUAUCAUCUACACCAAGGUAAAGAAGUAAAGCUAGACAGUAAAAGGAGUCAUAAGAAGUACAAUAUCUGUCUCAAAUGUACAAAAAUGGUGGUCUCUAGUACACUGGUAAAACGCUCAACCUCUCGCAAAAU
This 246-nucleotide long non-coding RNA is filed under the name Ananas comosus (pineapple). RNAcentral's name for it is "long non-coding RNA (ACOM_LNC044065)". The record is from RNAcentral. Lineage: Eukaryota; Viridiplantae; Streptophyta; Magnoliopsida; Poales; Bromeliaceae.